CGUCGCGCCAGGAAUGCUCAAUACGAGCGCGAGAGACGCGAGGGGGCUACCAAAGCAAUGCUGGCCCUCGCGCGGGCUGACGGCUGCCAAGAUUCGAUUUCACAGGCCGAACUGAUUCCGUGUGUUUUUAAGCAUACGACGUGAGCAGGAGUUGAUGACUUGCUCCGUAGGAACCAGCAGCUGACGUCAGAAUUUGAAACACUCAAGCGGCAGCUGGCUGAGCGUCCGGCAGAGGUGACUGCGCUAGUCCGUGCAACUGAGGCAGCUGGGGACUCGUGGCUACCCUGGUCCCCGAUAUCUGCCGAGCGCUCACCGCCAGAAAUGAUCGUGGCCCAACCUGUUGUCCCAAUGGUCC
Pectinophora gossypiella (pink bollworm) is the source of this 355-nucleotide long non-coding RNA. RefSeq lists it as uncharacterized. The transcript is spliced from 4 exons. Lineage: Eukaryota; Metazoa; Arthropoda; Insecta; Lepidoptera; Gelechiidae. The record is from RefSeq and is a predicted model, not a curated record.